GGGGGUGUUUUGGUUUCGACAGAAUUGACUUUGAUACAAAACGCGAGUCGAGGAGCUGCCUGGCCUCGUAAAAAGGCAGAAAAACAUAAAUGGCAAUAACGCUAUUAAAUUUGACCCACGUCAAAGCCAAGCUCUAGCUGCUUAAUUAAGUUGCUAGCCGUGACUGGAUAAUGUUGGAUAAUCCAGAAGCGCUAAAAACCAACUAGUUUUGUGUAGUGAUUAAAUACAUAAAAUGAAACUUUUUUAAUCUCGUUUUAUAAUAGUUUGUCUUUGGACGGUUAUGGAAUUAAAUUAAAAUAAAGACUACGCUCGUAGUGGUUUGUGUUGUUGCAGUUUUGGACAGCGGUUCAACUCCGCUCACCUCCACCA
RNAcentral lists this transfer-messenger RNA (369 nucleotides) under Candidatus Marinamargulisbacteria. Its description in RNAcentral is "GCA-2690645 sp002690645 X1 Standard tmRNA". It matches the Rfam family "transfer-messenger RNA". Rfam says of the family: Bacterial tmRNA, also known as 10Sa RNA or SsrA, is named for its dual tRNA and mRNA-like properties. Its role is to liberate the mRNA from a stalled ribosome. The record is from RNAcentral. RNAcentral also lists the same sequence under 1 other name. Lineage: Bacteria; Bacillati; Candidatus Margulisiibacteriota.